Molecule: ribosomal RNA, 494 nt
Filed under: uncultured bacterium
Lineage: Bacteria
Description: partial 16S ribosomal RNA
Rfam family: Bacterial small subunit ribosomal RNA
Source: RNAcentral
GACGAACGCUGGCGGCGUGCUUAACACAUGCAAGUCGAACGGAGAGGCCUGCUUUCCCUUGUGGAUUGCGGGUACUCGAGUGGCGAACGGGUGAGUAACACGUGAGUGAUCUGCCCCCAACUUGGGUAUAAGCCUGGGAAACUGGGUCUAAUUCCCGAUAGGACUGCAGGGUGGUGCCUGUGGUGGAAAACGAUUUUCUAGUGGUUGGGGAUGAGCUCGCGGCCUAUCAGCUUGUUGGUGGGGUAAUGGCCUACCAAGGCGGCGACGGGUAGCCGGCCUGAGAGGGUGGACGGCCGCAUUGGGACUGAGAUACGGCCCAGACUCCUACGGGAGGCAGCAGUGGGGAAUAUUGCACAAUGGGCGGAAGCCUGAUGCAGCGACGCCGCGUGGGGGAUGACGGCCUUCGGGUUGUAAACUCCUUUCGACCGCGAGGAAGCCACCUGGUUGGAAGGGUGGUGACGGUAGUGGUAGAAGAAGCACCGGCUAACUACGUG